AGGUCGAGGCCUGAUGAGGCCAGAAGCCGGGAAGCCACGGCCUGUGUCCUCGGAAAAAGCAGGCACUGGAAGGGAGGCCAUUGAGCCCGGCACUAGCCGGUGUGGGUGAGCCCCGGCGAUGGGGGGGAUGGGUGGGGGUGGGGCGGGGAGGCUGGCCUGCCUUGACUCCUUUCUUCUCUUUGCAGCUCCCUGCUGUGGUCUGGAGGAAGCAGCGGCCUGGGUUGGUGGGAUUGGAAUGAAGGGCUUCUGGUUUGCAGGGAUCAAGGGUCCAGGGUCCCCGAGGUUGGGUCAGGAGCCUCAAGGGGAUAACUGAGGCUUGGGAGGGAGACAGGGCGAGAUAGAGACUGGCCCCUGUCCGGGAAGAAGCGUCCGGGUAGCUGGCAGGAGAUAGCAUUUAGGCAGAAACCAGGCUGGGGGCAGCUUGGGUAGGGGUCCCCGCAGAUCAGAGGACGGCCUGGAACAGGUCCCAGGGCCAGGGCCCAGGCAGGGGCAGCCAGCCUGAGGAGGGUGGCUGGUUAGGUGGCACUCACACCUAGAUGGGCUGCGAAGAUCAUAGACCUGUCCCAUAGUAAUGGAGACCCCUGUAGCGCAUUUCACCCUCCACUGCAGCAGCCGGAAGGAGUGUGAGGAGGGUCCAGGGA
RNAcentral lists this small RNA (641 nucleotides) under Pan troglodytes (chimpanzee). RNAcentral's name for it is "processed transcript". Lineage: Eukaryota; Metazoa; Chordata; Mammalia; Primates; Hominidae. The record is from RNAcentral.